AUCUCCCUCUCACUCUCCCUCCCUCUCUCUCGAUCUCCCUCUCCAUCGAUCUCUCUCUCCCGAUCUCAACCCUCUCUCUCGAUCUCCCUCUCACUCUCCCUCCCUCCAUCUCGAUCUCCCUCUCUCUCGAUCUCCCUCUCCCGAUAUCAACCCUCUCUCUCGAUCUCCCUCUCUUUCAAACUCCCACUCCCGAUCUCAACCCCCUCUCUCGAUACGAAUGGUACCAAUCAUCGAACCAUUCUGCAUGUGGGCCCAGUGACGGUGACAUACACAUCAGUCGUGACGAGGGUUUUAUGUUAUCCUAGGGCAGAAGGGGCUGAGAUGCAAUUGGGGAGAGCUGUUAUACGCCGUAGCUCUAAAUAUGCCUGCAGGUUCUCUGCAGGUUGCCAGCUCAAUAUCAGCCCUACAUCAAAUGAUGGUCUCAUAGUACGGUUCUGAUCAUCCGUUUAGUGGCCGUUUGCUGUCAGUGCAUGGUUUGGACAAUGGGAAGUCCAGGUAUGAAAUUACACAAGUGCCAUUGAAAUGGGGUUUUGUUUAGGAGAAGUCCAGGAUUGCAGAGCAUUAUAAUGCUUUGUUCUACUAGAUGCUUUGGGAUAUGUGGACAGUCAAAUCAGUCGAUCUGUACCGUCCAUUUGGCGGAUCCCAUGACGUAUUGGCCACAUCGCGAAAAUUUUAGUGAUCGGAUGAUUCUAACCAUAUCUAAUCAUGGCAUAUGAAAGAUGGAUGGUUAAUAUUGUUUAUGGUUGUAACAAUAUUAGGUGGGGACCAUCAUGGAUUGGUUGUAACAGUUCUAAGAAUCACUUUAAUUAGAUGAUCCUAACCAUCCCAUCCAUGGCUUGGGGAAUACAUGGCUAUAGGAAAGGUUGAUGUCUGGUGGGCAGCUGAUCAAAAAACUUAUGCCAAUUUACCAUUUAAAAGCCGUCUCUUAUCACUGGGAGAAAUGCUUAGACGAUGAUGAUAACUCAACUGUCAAUGCUCUUGAUUUCUUUUCUAUUUUUUAACUGAUUCAUGAAAUCUGGUUUUAAUGAUCUGAAUAAUAAAUGAUCUAGUUUCACAUGUAAUUGCAAUUAAAUUAGUUAUCAGAGGCUGAGUUCCCUGCUUGUGAACAGGGAACUUCCUUUUUAUACA
Magnolia sinica is the source of this 1128-nucleotide long non-coding RNA. RefSeq lists it as uncharacterized. The record is from RefSeq and is a predicted model, not a curated record. The transcript has 2 exons. NCBI's taxonomy places the organism in Eukaryota, Viridiplantae, Streptophyta, Magnoliopsida, Magnoliales, Magnoliaceae.